UUGACCGCUGACCCUCACUGAUGCCCUCUCCAAGGUUCAUUCAGCCUUCCUCAGCUCAGCCAACAAGUUUGAGUGUCUGGACAUGGGAUAUAAACUGAGGCUGAGGAGGAUUGUGAAGCUCCCUCAUUGAAUGUGACCAGUGCAAAGCAGCAAAAUUAACACAGACUACAGGGGUGAAUUUGCUCGCUGUCUGGAGCCCUUACUGCUGCUGGGACAGCGCCGCCCAGCCUCCAUCACCGGGGCAACUAGUAUCGCAGCUCUGUGAGUGUUUUUGGCCUUAAAAUAUAAUCGUUGGCUUGAAAGGCUUUGAA
Long non-coding RNA from Salvelinus sp. IW2-2015, 311 nucleotides. RefSeq lists it as uncharacterized. Lineage: Eukaryota; Metazoa; Chordata; Actinopteri; Salmoniformes; Salmonidae. The record is from RefSeq and is a predicted model, not a curated record.